RNAcentral lists this microRNA precursor (106 nucleotides) under Canis lupus familiaris (dog). Its description in RNAcentral is "mir-8834 microRNA precursor family". It matches the Rfam family "mir-8834 microRNA precursor family". Lineage: Eukaryota; Metazoa; Chordata; Mammalia; Carnivora; Canidae. The record is from Rfam by way of RNAcentral.
AGGAGGAACAACCAUAGUGGUGGCGGCCAGCUCCGGAGCCCUGGAGUCAGCUCCCGCAGUAACUAGGGAGCUUUCAGUCUGCAGGGCCUGGAUGCUCCGGAAGCCG